Molecule: ribosomal RNA, 438 nt
Filed under: Armina sp. EJM-2010
Lineage: Eukaryota; Metazoa; Mollusca; Gastropoda; Nudibranchia; Arminidae
Description: partial 16S ribosomal RNA
Rfam family: Bacterial large subunit ribosomal RNA
Source: RNAcentral
AGCCAGAAGUUAACAUUUUUGGUUUAACCUGCCCAAUGUAUAUAAAGGAUGAAUGGCCGCGGUACUCUGACCGUGCUAAGGUAGCGUAAUCAGUUGGCUUUUAAAUGGAGUCAGGAAUGAAUGGGAUAACCUGGUCUAGCUGUCUCCUUACUAUUUAAUCAAAUUUACUGACCAAGUGAAAAAGCUUGAAUUAGGAAAAGGGACGAGAAGACCCUUAGAAUUUUACUAAAAGUACGAAUCAGUUCUUAUUGUUGUUUUGUUGGGGUGACAAAGAAAAAUAUUAAAACUUUCUUUAAAAAUACCAGCCGAGUUCACUAAGUAAGAAUAAAUUACCUGAGGGAUAACAGCAUAAUUCUACAGUUGAGUUUGUGACCUCGAUGUUGGACUAGGAAGCUGGUGGGCUAGCCGUUUGCCGUGCAAGUUCUGUUCGAACUAUAA